UCGCGCUAGACGGGGAGGUAGCGGUGCCCUGCACCCGCAAUCCGCUACAGCGGGGUCGAAUCCCCCCCCGAGGCGUGUGGCUGUGGGGCCCUGGCCCACGUAAGUGGUGAAGAAGGCUUGGCCCCGCGCAACGGAAAGCUGUGAACCCCGCCAGGUCCGGGAGGAAGCAACGGUAAGCAGCCCCUUUCGUGUGCCGCGGCACUCCUGGCCGGAGCCGGCUGCGUGGAUACCGCCUGGAGCCACCCGACGAAGGUGGGUGCGCGG
This 264-nucleotide signal recognition particle RNA is filed under the name Bacillota bacterium. RNAcentral's name for it is "signal recognition particle sRNA large type". It matches the Rfam family "Bacterial large signal recognition particle RNA". From Rfam's summary of the family: The signal recognition particle (SRP) is a universally conserved ribonucleoprotein involved in the co-translational targeting of proteins to membranes. Archaeal SRP consists of a 7S RNA and homologues of the eukaryotic SRP19 and SRP54 proteins. In most bacteria, the SRP consists of a 4.5S RNA and the Ffh protein (a homologue of the eukaryotic SRP54 protein). The record is from RNAcentral. Lineage: Bacteria; Bacillati; Bacillota.